Molecule: ribosomal RNA, 253 nt
Filed under: uncultured bacterium
Lineage: Bacteria
Description: partial 16S ribosomal RNA
Rfam family: Bacterial small subunit ribosomal RNA
Source: RNAcentral
UACGUAGGGGGCAAGCGUUAUCCGGAAUCACUGGGUGUAAAGGGAGCGUAGACGGCUGUGCAAGCCUGAAGUGAAAGGCGGGGGCCCAACCCCUGGACUGCUUUGGGAACUGUACGGCUGGAGUGCAGGAGAGGUAAGUGGAAUUCCUAGUGUAGCGGUGAAAUGCGUAGAUAUUAGGAGGAACACCAGUGGCGAAGGCGGCUUACUGGACUGCAACUGACGUUGAGGCCCGAAAGCGUGGGGAGCAAACAGG